RNAcentral lists this ribosomal RNA (286 nucleotides) under uncultured Peptoniphilus sp. RNAcentral describes it as "partial 16S ribosomal RNA". It matches the Rfam family "Bacterial small subunit ribosomal RNA", at positions 81 to 355 of the family's 1533-position model. Lineage: Bacteria; Bacillati; Bacillota; Tissierellia; Tissierellales; Peptoniphilaceae. The record is from RNAcentral.
CGGGGNGAAGAUAAGACGGAUUAGCGGCGGACGGGUGAGUAACACGUGAGUAACCUGCCUUUUACACAGGGAUAGCCUCGGGAAACCGGGAUUAAAACCUGAUGAAACUAUCAAAUCACAUGAUUAAGAAAGUUAAAACUCCGGUGGUAAAAGAUGGACUCGCGUCCCAUUAGCUAGUUGGUGAAGGUAACGGCCCACCAAGGCAACGAUGGGUAGCCGGCCUGAGAGGGUGAACGGCCACAUUGGAACUGAGAAACGGUCCAAACUCCUACGGGAGGCAGCAGUC